This 68-nucleotide transfer RNA is filed under the name Margattea bisignata. RNAcentral's name for it is "tRNA-Met". Lineage: Eukaryota; Metazoa; Arthropoda; Insecta; Blattodea; Pseudophyllodromiidae. The record is from RNAcentral.
AAAAGUAAGCUAAGACUUAAGCUCAUGGGCUCAUACCCCAUUUAUAGAGGUAACUCUCUUCUCUAGUG